This 542-nucleotide ribosomal RNA is filed under the name uncultured archaeon. RNAcentral's name for it is "bacterial SSU rRNA". It matches the Rfam family "Archaeal small subunit ribosomal RNA", at positions 333 to 879 of the family's 1478-position model. The record is from RNAcentral.
CAGCAGGCGCGAAAACUUUACCAUGCGGGAAACCGUGAUAAGGGAACUCCGAGUGCCCGUAAAAUCGGGCUGUCCAUCUGUUUAAAUAACAGGUGAAGAAAGGGCCGGGCAAGACCGGUGCCAGCCGCCGCGGUAAUACCGGCGGCUCGAGUGGUGGCCACUAUUACUGGGCUUAAAGCGUUCGUAGCUGGUCUGUUAAGUCUCUGGGGAAAUCUACUGGCUUAACCAAUAGGCGCUUCAGGGAUACUGGCAGACUAGGGACCGGGAGAGGUGAGGGGUACUCCAGGGGUAGGAGUGAAAUCCUGUAAUCCUUGGGGGACCACCUGUGGCGAAGGCGCCUCACCAGAACGGCUCCGACAGUGAGGGACGAAAGCUGGGGGAGCAAACCGGAUUAGAUGCCCGGGUAGUCCCAGCCGUAAACGAUGCGCGUUAGGUGUAUCGAUGACCACGAGUCACCGAGGUGCCGAAGAGAAAUCGUGAAACGUGCCGCCUGGGAAGUACGGUCGCAAGGCUGAAACUUAAAGGAAUUGGCGGGGGAGCAC